This is a long non-coding RNA of Papaver somniferum (opium poppy), 606 nucleotides long. RefSeq lists it as uncharacterized. The transcript is spliced from 4 exons. Lineage: Eukaryota; Viridiplantae; Streptophyta; Magnoliopsida; Ranunculales; Papaveraceae. The record is from RefSeq and is a predicted model, not a curated record.
GACAAUUGUAUCCAUCACCUUUAAUGGCGAAACUAACCAAGAACCAAAAGUGUUAGUCGGUGGAAAUGACUUCUACGCAUUCCCCCGUCUGGAUUCCAAAGGAGAGCGGCUAGCUUGGAUUGAAUGGGGUCACCCUAACAUGCCAUGGGAUAAAGCACAACUUUGGGUUGGUUACAUUUCCAAGGAUGGAGAUAUAAGCCAAAGGAUCUGUGUUGCCGGUGGUGAUCCUAUGCUGGUAGAGUCUCCAUCUGAGCCCAAGUGGUCCUCUAAAGAUUGAGCACAGAAACGAGGUGGUAUCGAUUUAUUCCAUCGAUGCUGAGUUUACAAAACCGUUUUGGGUUUUCGGUGCUUCCUCCUUUGAUUUCAUCCCAACCAAUGGCAACAACAACUUAAUUUCUUGCAGCUACAGGUCUCUCCAUUAUAGUUAUCACCACUAUAUUCCUUUUUGGUCCAUUUGUUGUAAUUUUAGCAUUUUUGUUCUUUUAAUGGUGGAUGUGUCGUUUGAAAUUUGAUUUCAGCUGUAAUUGAUAACAUGCAGACAGUUUGAGAUGAAGUGUAUGUGAGUUGGAUUAGUAAUAUGAUGGGAUGAAGAUGGGUUUGCGUUUU